RNAcentral lists this ribosomal RNA (206 nucleotides) under uncultured bacterium. RNAcentral's name for it is "partial 16S ribosomal RNA". It matches the Rfam family "Bacterial small subunit ribosomal RNA", at positions 568 to 774 of the family's 1533-position model. The record is from RNAcentral.
CUCGUAGGCGGCCAACUAAGUCAGACGUGAAAUCCCUCGGCUUAACCGGGGAACUGCGUCUGAUACUGGAUGGCUUGAGGGUAGGAGAGGGAUGCGGAAUUCCAGGUGUAGCGGUGAAAUGCGUAGAUAUCUGGAGGAACACCGGUGGCGAAGGCGGCAUCCUGGACUACUACUGACGCUGAGGAGCGAAAGCCAGGGAGCAAACG